Manacus vitellinus (golden-collared manakin) is the source of this 710-nucleotide long non-coding RNA. RefSeq lists it as uncharacterized. The transcript is spliced from 3 exons. NCBI's taxonomy places the organism in Eukaryota, Metazoa, Chordata, Aves, Passeriformes, Pipridae. The record is from RefSeq and is a predicted model, not a curated record.
UGCUGCUGUGGGAGUCUUCUGAAACACUUGCAAGUUGUGAUGGAAAAAUGAAGCAAUUAAAACAAAAGCCUGCUUGUAGCACUGAGACUGAAGGACACUAGAAUGAUUAAUGGUGGCUGUAGAAGUAACAAGAAAAACCCUUGAGCCUCAUGAGGCUAUUCAUGGGAUUCACAAACAGGAUGGAUUCCUGCAUGUAUCAUAUCACAUCACAGAAAAGAAGAUAGAUCUUCACUCUGUCAGAUAUGAACCCUGCUGAUCCCAAUCUGCAGUGUGACUUCUGAGCUUCACCUAUCUCAUCGCUGUGAAUAUGCUAAAUCAUCCCUAGACUGUGUCUGACUCUCAUUAACUUCACUGGAACUGAUCCUGACCCUGAUUUUUGGCAUGACUUCCUGGCUUGAUUUCCUCAGACCUGCUUCAUCAUCAUAAAAUUGCCUGACGGUCUGGACGUGGCUACCAUCCCUGGGCUGGUCUUUCUUGCCUCGGUUGGGGUCAGUCCUGCUGGCCAUAGUAUCUCCCUCAGCACCACAUACCUUAGGGAGAGCUGGUGCUCACCAUGCCCUGACACUUAAACAGAGGCUGAGAUUCUGCUCUCUCUAAUUUUUUUAUUUAUGGGGUAACAAAAACUACGUUGACUGCCCUGUGUUUUUCUUGGCAAAUAUACCUUUGUUUCAUAAGUCUUCAUUUUGGUUAGGUCGUUGUACAAUGAACCA